CCUACGGGUCGCAGCAGUGGGGAAUAUUGCACAAUGGGCGCAAGCCUGAUGCAGCCAUGCCGCGUGUGUGAAGAAGGCCUUCGGGUUGUAAAGCACUUUCAGCGGGGAGGAAGGCGAUAAGGUUAAUGACCUUGUCGAUUGACGUUACCCGCAGAAGAAGCACCGGCUAACUCCGUGCCAGCAGCCGCGGUAAUACGGAGGGUGCAAGCGUUAAUCGGAAUUACUGGGCGUAAAGCGCACGCAGGCGGUCUGUCAAGUCGGAUGUGAAAUCCCCGGGCUCAACCUGGGAACUGCAUUCGAAACUGGCAGGCUAGAGCCUUGUAGAGGGGGGUAGAAUUCCAGGUGUAGCGGUGAAAUGCGUAGAGAUCUGGAGGAAUACCGGUGGCGAAGGCGGCCCCCUGGACAAAGACUGACGCUCAGGUGCGAAAGCGUGGGGAGCAAACAGGAUUAGAUACCCCGGUAGUC
RNAcentral lists this ribosomal RNA (465 nucleotides) under uncultured bacterium. Its description in RNAcentral is "bacterial SSU rRNA". It matches the Rfam family "Bacterial small subunit ribosomal RNA", at positions 338 to 795 of the family's 1533-position model. The record is from RNAcentral.